Salmo salar (Atlantic salmon) is the source of this 54-nucleotide non-coding RNA. Lineage: Eukaryota; Metazoa; Chordata; Actinopteri; Salmoniformes; Salmonidae. The record is from Rfam.
UGCAUUCACUACUGUAAGUCGCUCUGGAUAAAAGUGUCUGCUAAAUGACUCACG